AUUAGGUGCCUUCUCUGUUUUCUCUCUCUCUCCCACUUAGAAGGCUAGAAGGAAAGGACUCUGAGGGAGUGGAAUCACAAGACGGAAGGGGGUUCUGAGCUACCGUUUGGAGAAAUGCCGUACGGGAGAGCCCCCUGACCUACAAGGGAAGAAAUAAGUCUCAGUGGUGAUAAGCAAGUGAGAGUUCAGGUCACAAAACCAGUAAGCAAUCGACCUGGAAUCUGAACCUGAGGAGAAUGUGUCUCCAAAGUCUGUGUCAUCACUAUGUCAUCCUGGAUGGACGAGCGCACAGGUCCUUACAUGGUGAAUGGAAAUAACCACUCUAAGCAACUCACAAGCUGAGACUUUGAAAUAACCAGCUGUUGUCAGAGCACAAACUCAUGCGCGUAGGGCCCUGCCACUUGGAGUCCCUCCCCCAGCUCUUUUGAAAUGGAACCAGGCCACACGUGCUAAACACGGGCCCAGCUCUGGCAGUGAGGCAUACAUGGGAAGCAGUGGGAUGAGGCAGUAACUUUCACUCGCUGGGUAAAAGGUUACAAUAAUGUCCUCCGCGCAAAGUUUCCUGAAAGAAUGUUGGGUAGCUAGCUGAAGUCAAAACGAAGUGACUUCACCAAUGACUGAAGAGGAGUCUGCCAUCUGUGCUGUAACCCAUUUAUGGUAGAUGGCAGGGAGUAAGACGGGCAUGUCAAUUAAAUUCAGCCAAAGCUAUAAGAAUAUAUAACUGCUUGAGUAUUAUGCUCAGUUUUUUUAUUGUUACAUUAAAAACUGACUCUCCGGCUACUUCUACUGAGUCAAAUCUAUAGACACAAAGAAGUAUAAAGUAGAAGGGAACUUAGAGUUUAGUUAAUCUAACAGUUUCCAGAUUUUUGGA
This is a long non-coding RNA of Rhinolophus ferrumequinum (greater horseshoe bat), 871 nucleotides long. RefSeq lists it as uncharacterized. The transcript is spliced from 3 exons. NCBI's taxonomy places the organism in Eukaryota, Metazoa, Chordata, Mammalia, Chiroptera, Rhinolophidae. The record is from RefSeq and is a predicted model, not a curated record.